RNAcentral lists this ribosomal RNA (1392 nucleotides) under uncultured bacterium. RNAcentral's name for it is "bacterial SSU rRNA". It matches the Rfam family "Bacterial small subunit ribosomal RNA", at positions 28 to 1393 of the family's 1533-position model. The record is from RNAcentral.
GAUGAACGCUAGCGGCAGGCCUAAUACAUGCAAGUCGAGGGGCAGCACGAUGUAGCAAUACAUUGGUGGCGACCGGCAAACGGGUGCGGAACACGUACGCAACCUUCCUUUGAGUGGGGAAUAGCCCAGAGAAAUUUGGAUUAAUACCCCGUAAGAUCGUGGUGAGGCAUCUCACAGCGAUAAAAGCUGCGGCACUCGAAGAUGGGCGUGCGCCUGAUUAGGUAGUUGGUGAGGUAACGGCUCACCAAGCCGACGAUCAGUAACUGGCGUGAGAGCGCGACCAGUCACACGGGCACUGAGACACGGGCCCGACUCCUACGGGAGGCAGCAGUAAGGAAUAUUGGUCAAUGGACGCAAGUCUGAACCAGCCAUGCCGCGUGGAGGAUGAAGGUCCUCUGGAUUGUAAACUUCUUUUAUCUGGGAAGAAAUGUGCAUUUUCUAAUGUAUUUGACGGUACCAGAUGAAUAAGCACCGGCUAACUCCGUGCCAGCAGCCGCGGUAAUACGGAGGGUGCAAGCGUUAUCCGGAUUCACUGGGUUUAAAGGGUGCGUAGGCGGAACUGUAAGUCCGUGGUGAAAUCUCCGAGCUUAACUCGGAAACUGCCGUGGGUACUGUGGUUCUUGAAUGUUGUGGAGGUUUGCGGAAUAUGUCAUGUAGCGGUGAAAUGCUUAGAUAUGACAUAGAACACCGAUUGCGAAGGCAGCAGCUACACAAAUAUUGACGCUGAGGCACGAAAGCGUGGGGAUCAAACAGGAUUAGAUACCCUGGUAGUCACGCCCUAACGAUGAUUACUCGACAUACGCGAUACACAGUGUGUGUCUGAGCGAAAGCAUUAAAGUAAUCCACCUGGGAAGUUCCGACCGCAAGGUUGAAACUUCAAAAGAAAUGACGGGGGUUCCGCACCAACCGUUGGAGCAAUGUGUUUAAAUUCGAUUAUUAGGCGGGGGAAACCCUUACCUGGGCUUAAAAUGCUGGGGGAAUUGGAUCUGAAAAGGUCCCUUUUGUAGCCAAUACACCGCCAAGUAAAGGUGCUGCAUGGGCUGUCGUUCAGCUUCGUGCCGUGAGGUGUUGGGUUAAGUCCCCGCAACGAGCGCAACCCCCUAUCUUUUAGUUGCCAACAGGUCCAAGCUGGGAACUCUAAAGAAACUGCCGUCGUAAGACGCGAGGAAGGAGGGGAUGAUGUCAAGUCAUCAUGGCCUUUAUGCCCAGGGCUACACACGUGCUACAAUGGUAGGAACAAAGGGCUGCUACUUAGUAAUAAGCUGCUAAUCUCAAAAAUCCUAUCUCAGUUCGGAUUGAGGGCUGCAACUCGCCCUCAUGAAGCUGGAAUCGCUAGUAAUCGUAUAUCAGCAAUGAUACGGUGAAUACGUUCCCGGACCUUGUACACACCGC